This 306-nucleotide ribosomal RNA is filed under the name uncultured bacterium. RNAcentral's name for it is "partial 16S ribosomal RNA". It matches the Rfam family "Bacterial small subunit ribosomal RNA", at positions 507 to 807 of the family's 1533-position model. The record is from RNAcentral.
GACAGCAGUAGCCGCGGGAAUACGGAGGGUGCAAGCGUUAAUCGGAAUUACUGGGCGUAAAGCGCACGCAGGCGGUUUGUUAAGUCAGAUGUGAAAUCCCCGAGCUUAACUUGGGAACUGCAUUUGAAACUGGCAAGCUAGAGUCUUGUAGAGGGGGGUAGAAUUCCAGGUGUAGCGGUGAAAUGCGUAGAGAUCUGGAGGAAUACCGGUGGCGAAGGCGGCCCCCUGGACAAAGACUGACGCUCAGGUGCGAAAGCGUGGGGAGCAAACAGGAUUAGAUACCCCUGUAGUCCCUGUCUCUUAUAC